Molecule: microRNA precursor, 45 nt
Filed under: Ciona intestinalis (vase tunicate)
Lineage: Eukaryota; Metazoa; Chordata; Ascidiacea; Phlebobranchia; Cionidae
Description: microRNA cin-mir-4108 precursor
Source: miRBase by way of RNAcentral
UGUGUGAAGUAGAGGAACUUGCCUUUCUCCUCUACGAAUUACAUA